GUGUCAGCCGCCGCGGUAAUACAGGGGGUGCGAGCGUUAUUCGGAUUUAUUGGGCGUAAAGAGCGUGUAGGUGGUCUAUUAAGUCUGGUGUGAAAUCCCUGGGCUCAAUCCAGGAAGUGCAUUGGAUACUGAUAGACUAGAGUGCAGGAGAGGUAAGCGGAAUUCCCGGUGUAGAGGUGAAAUUCGUAGAUAUCGGGAGGAACAACAGAGGCGAAGGCGGCUUACUGGACUGCUACUGACACUAAGGCGCGAAAGCAUGGGGAGCAAACAGGAUUAGAUACCCGCGUAGUCC
RNAcentral lists this ribosomal RNA (292 nucleotides) under uncultured bacterium. Its description in RNAcentral is "partial 16S ribosomal RNA". It matches the Rfam family "Bacterial small subunit ribosomal RNA", at positions 505 to 796 of the family's 1533-position model. The record is from RNAcentral.